Molecule: ribosomal RNA, 671 nt
Filed under: Priestia megaterium
Lineage: Bacteria; Bacillati; Bacillota; Bacilli; Caryophanales; Bacillaceae
Description: bacterial SSU rRNA
Rfam family: Bacterial small subunit ribosomal RNA
Source: RNAcentral
UUAGAAGCUUGCUUCUAUGACGUUAGCGGCGGACGGGUGAGUAACACGUGGGCAACCUGCCUGUAAGACUGGGAUAACUUCGGGAAACCGAAGCUAAUACCGGAUAGGAUCUUCUCCUUCAUGGGAGAUGAUUGAAAGAUGGUUUCGGCUAUCACUUACAGAUGGGCCCGCGGUGCAUUAGCUAGUUGGUGAGGUAACGGCUCACCAAGGCAACGAUGCAUAGCCGACCUGAGAGGGUGAUCGGCCACACUGGGACUGAGACACGGCCCAGACUCCUACGGGAGGCAGCAGUAGGGAAUCUUCCGCAAUGGACGAAAGUCUGACGGAGCAACGCCGCGUGAGUGAUGAAGGCUUUCGGGUCGUAAAACUCUGUUGUUAGGGAAGAACAAGUACAAGAGUAACUGCUUGUACCUUGACGGUACCUAACCAGAAAGCCACGGCUAACUACGUGCCAGCAGCCGCGGUAAUACGUAGGUGGCAAGCGUUAUCCGGAAUUAUUGGGCGUAAAGCGCGCGCAGGCGGUUUCUUAAGUCUGAUGUGAAAGCCCACGGCUCAACCGUGGAGGGUCAUUGGAAACUGGGGAACUUGAGUGCAGAAGAGAAAAGCGGAAUUCCACGUGUAGCGGUGAAAUGCGUAGAGAUGUGGAGGAACACCAGUGGCGAAGGCGGCUU